This 462-nucleotide ribosomal RNA is filed under the name uncultured bacterium. RNAcentral's name for it is "partial 16S ribosomal RNA". It matches the Rfam family "Bacterial small subunit ribosomal RNA", at positions 28 to 506 of the family's 1533-position model. The record is from RNAcentral.
GAUGAACGCUGACAGCAUGCCUAAUACAUGCAAGUCGAUGGGGAAGUGGUGCUUGUUCCAUGGCAACCAUGGCGGACGGGUGAGUAACGCGUAAGGAACUUGCCUACGGGACUGGGAUAACAGCAGUAAACUGCCGAUAAUACCGGCUAAGGUAAUUAAGCUGCAUAGCUUAGCGAUGAAAGGAGACGCCUGUGGGGUGACUUGUGUCCUAUUAGCUAGCUGGAGGGUUAACGGCCGACCAAGGCGAAGAUAGGUAGCCGGCCGGAGAGAGUGAACGGCCACAAGGGUACUGGGAGACGGACCAUACUCCUACCGGAGGCAGCAGUGAGGAAUAUUGGGCAAUGGGGGCAACCCUGAGCCAGCAAUUCGAUGUGCACAAAGACUGUUUUCGGAUUGAAAAAUGCUUUCGGCAGGGAAGAAGGAAGUGACGGAACCUGCAGAAGAAGCGACGGCUAAUUACGU